Homo sapiens (human) is the source of this 148-nucleotide non-coding RNA. It matches the Rfam family "Metazoan signal recognition particle RNA". Rfam says of the family: The signal recognition particle (SRP) is a universally conserved ribonucleoprotein. It is involved in the co-translational targeting of proteins to membranes. The eukaryotic SRP consists of a 300-nucleotide 7S RNA and six proteins: SRPs 72, 68, 54, 19, 14, and 9. NCBI's taxonomy places the organism in Eukaryota, Metazoa, Chordata, Mammalia, Primates, Hominidae. The record is from Rfam.
GCUGGGGAUGGUGGCACAUGCCUGUAGUCCCAACUACUUGGGAAGCUGAGAUGGGAGGAUUGCUUGAGCCUGGGAUUUCGGGGCUGCAGUGAGCAGUGAUUAUGCCACUGCACUCCAGCCUGGGUGACAGAGUGAGACCCUGUCUCAA